RNAcentral lists this ribosomal RNA (2934 nucleotides) under Yersinia pestis. Its description in RNAcentral is "bacterial LSU rRNA". It matches the Rfam family "Bacterial large subunit ribosomal RNA". Lineage: Bacteria; Pseudomonadati; Pseudomonadota; Gammaproteobacteria; Enterobacterales; Yersiniaceae. RNAcentral also lists the same sequence under 4 other names. The record is from RNAcentral.
GGGUUGUGAGGUUAAGCGACUAAGCGUACACGGUGGAUGCCUAGGCAGUCAGAGGCGAUGAAGGGCGUGCUAAUCUGCGAAAAGCGUCGGUAAGCUGAUAUGAAGCGUUAUAACCGACGAUACCCGAAUGGGGAAACCCAGUGCAAUACGUUGCACUAUCGUUAGAUGAAUACAUAGUCUAACGAGGCGAACCGGGGGAACUGAAACAUCUAAGUACCCCGAGGAAAAGAAAUCAACCGAGAUUCCCCCAGUAGCGGCGAGCGAACGGGGAGGAGCCCAGAGUCUGAAUCAGUUUGUGUGUUAGUGGAAGCGUCUGGAAAGUCGCACGGUACAGGGUGAUAGUCCCGUACACCAAAAUGCACAGGCUGUGAACUCGAUGAGUAGGGCGGGACACGUGACAUCCUGUCUGAAUAUGGGGGGACCAUCCUCCAAGGCUAAAUACUCCUGACUGACCGAUAGUGAACCAGUACCGUGAGGGAAAGGCGAAAAGAACCCCGGCGAGGGGAGUGAAAUAGAACCUGAAACCGUGUACGUACAAGCAGUGGGAGCACCUUCGUGGUGUGACUGCGUACCUUUUGUAUAAUGGGUCAGCGACUUAUAUUUUGUAGCAAGGUUAACCGAAUAGGGGAGCCGUAGGGAAACCGAGUCUUAACUGGGCGUCUAGUUGCAAGGUAUAGACCCGAAACCCGGUGAUCUAGCCAUGGGCAGGUUGAAGGUUGGGUAACACUAACUGGAGGACCGAACCGACUAAUGUUGAAAAAUUAGCGGAUGACUUGUGGCUGGGGGUGAAAGGCCAAUCAAACCGGGAGAUAGCUGGUUCUCCCCGAAAGCUAUUUAGGUAGCGCCUCGUGAACUCAUCUUCGGGGGUAGAGCACUGUUUCGGCUAGGGGGCCAUCCCGGCUUACCAAACCGAUGCAAACUCCGAAUACCGAAGAAUGUUAUCACGGGAGACACACGGCGGGUGCUAACGUCCGUCGUGAAGAGGGAAACAACCCAGACCGCCAGCUAAGGUCCCAAAGUCAUGGUUAAGUGGGAAACGAUGUGGGAAGGCACAGACAGCCAGGAUGUUGGCUUAGAAGCAGCCAUCAUUUAAAGAAAGCGUAAUAGCUCACUGGUCGAGUCGGCCUGCGCGGAAGAUGUAACGGGGCUAAACCAUGCACCGAAGCUGCGGCAGCGACACUUAGGUGUUGUUGGGUAGGGGAGCGUUCUGUAAGCCGUUGAAGGUGACCUGUGAGGGUUGCUGGAGGUAUCAGAAGUGCGAAUGCUGACAUAAGUAACGAUAAUGCGGGUGAAAAACCCGCACGCCGGAAGACCAAGGGUUCCUGUCCAACGUUAAUCGGGGCAGGGUGAGUCGACCCCUAAGGCGAGGCUGAAAAGCGUAGUCGAUGGGAAACAGGUUAAUAUUCCUGUACUUGGUGUUACUGCGAAGGGGGGACGGAGAAGGCUAGGCUGGCCGGGCGACGGUUGUCCCGGUUUAAGCGUGUAGGGGGAGUGACCAGGUAAAUCCGGUUGCUUAUCAACCCUGAGGCGUGAUGACGAUGCACCACGGUGCAGAAGCAGUUGAUGCCAUGCUUCCAGGAAAAGCCUCUAAGCAUCAGGUAACAUUAAAUCGUACCCCAAACCGACACAGGUGGUCAGGUAGAGAAUACUCAGGCGCUUGAGAGAACUCGGGUGAAGGAACUAGGCAAAAUGGUGCCGUAACUUCGGGAGAAGGCACGCUGGCGUUAGGUGAAAGGACUAGCUCCUGGAGCUGAAGCCAGUCGCAGAUACCAGCUGGCUGCAACUGUUUAAUAAAAACACAGCACUGUGCAAACACGAAAGUGGACGUAUACGGUGUGACGCCUGCCCGGUGCUGGAAGGUUAAUUGAUGGGGUCAGCCGCAAGGGGAAGCUCUUGAUCGAAGCCCCAGUAAACGGCGGCCGUAACUAUAACGGUCCUAAGGUAGCGAAAUUCCUUGUCGGGUAAGUUCCGACCUGCACGAAUGGCGUAAUGAUGGCCAGGCUGUCUCCACCCGAGACUCAGUGAAAUUGAACUCGCUGUGAAGAUGCAGUGUACCCGCGGCAAGACGGAAAGACCCCGUGAACCUUUACUAUAGCUUGACACUGAACAUUGAGCCUUGAUGUGUAGGAUAGGUGGGAGGCCUUGAAGUGUGGACGCCAGUCUGCAUGGAGCCAACCUUGAAAUACCACCCUUUAAUGUUUGAUGUUCUAACUCGGCCCCAUGAUCUGGGGUGAGGACAGUGUCUGGUGGGUAGUUUGACUGGGGCGGUCUCCUCCCAAAGAGUAACGGAGGAGCACGAAGGUUAGCUAAUCACGGUCGGACAUCGUGAGGUUAGUGCAAAGGCAUAAGCUAGCUUGACUGCGAGAGUGACGGCUCGAGCAGGUACGAAAGUAGGUCUUAGUGAUCCGGUGGUUCUGAAUGGAAGGGCCAUCGCUCAACGGAUAAAAGGUACUCCGGGGAUAACAGGCUGAUACCGCCCAAGAGUUCAUAUCGACGGCGGUGUUUGGCACCUCGAUGUCGGCUCAUCACAUCCUGGGGCUGAAGUAGGUCCCAAGGGUAUGGCUGUUCGCCAUUUAAAGUGGUACGCGAGCUGGGUUUAGAACGUCGUGAGACAGUUCGGUCCCUAUCUGCCGUGGGCGUUGGAAGAUUGAGAGGGGCUGCUCCUAGUACGAGAGGACCGGAGUGGACGAAUCACUGGUGUUCGGGUUGUCAUGCCAAUGGCAUUGCCCGGUAGCUAAAUUCGGAAGAGAUAACCGCUGAAAGCAUCUAAGCGGGAAACUUGCCUCGAGAUGAGUCUUCCCUGGGACUUAAAGUCCCCUGAAGGAACGUUAAAGACUAUGACGUUGAUAGGCUGGGUGUGUAAGUGCAGCGAUGUAUUGAGCUAACCAGUACUAAUGAUCCGUGAGGCUUAACCUUACAACACCGAAGGUGUUU